CGGGUAGCUGGACCUCACACCACAACCAUUGUCUCUCUUCACUAGAGGUAGUAGUAGUAGAGCCGUAGCUGCUGGUGCAGAGCAGGCGUUAGAAAUCUUGCUGCUGUGUCAAGAGAAUCGGGAGAAGGCAAGCAUGCGUUCCAUCUAGCUUCUCUAGAUGUCCUGUUCCUUCUCUUUCUUUACUCAUGCCAUGCCGCUGUUGCUAGUACUUCUCUAUAUGGCUAGUCUGUAGCACUAUUCUUGUUGUUAAUUCUUUCACCUCAGCCAGUGUGUCCUUGUACAGUACGCAUGGUGGUUUGGUUCUGCAUGCUAGUUGUGAAAGAUGCAUGCGUCCUAUCUCCCAAGAACUCCUCUAGAUUAAUUUGUCUUUUCUCUCUUUCUAUCUUGUACCACAUGCCUUGUUCUAACUAAGUACGCCUCACUUUUACUUGUUGGACCUGUACACUCGUUAUGCUAAGAAUAGCACAUGCAAGACUAGCUAAUCUUGUGCAGAAGCUAGGGAUGAUAUAUUGGUGAUCUUUUGAGAUAAUAUUUCCUCUUCUAAUGUUCCAGUCCUAAUGAAAAAUCUAACACUAAGGCAUCACGAUGGCAAAAACAUUGUACCGGUCACAGUUUUUCCCUGCUACAUGUGUGCUUGCUGAGUAUGUUAUCAUACUCAUUCUUGCUAUCUUUUUUUUUUGCAGAGAUGAGCAAUGGAAAUGAUGGUGAACAGUAGAAGUAGUACUACGGGAGGGGAUGAAAUAAAGAAACUUGCAUGCAUGUACUAGCAAGAACACUUGUAGUCGUUCCUAUGAUAAUGAAUAAAAAUGAUUCCAGUGUACUACCUUGGUUAACCUGAUGGCCUAACAUGCUUAUAAAUUUGAAUUGAAUUUAUAAGCAUGUGGCAAUUGUCACUGCUAUGUUUUGGGGCGUGACAGAUAGAAGCACUCCAAAAGCUACAUAAUAAAUCAUAGAGGCUGGCCGAACUAAUUGGCGCACUCAAACGAUACAAGAGAGCGGCCCGAUGGACAACUAAGCAAGCAUACACAGCAAGUAAAACUACAUCACCAAUAUUAUGUAAUUAACUGGAAGCUCUUGUUCAUCAUACCAGUACAAAUAUACUAUCUAUAUCUAUACUUUAAUCAUGCAGUCAAUUGAAGUAAAAGCUGGCUCGGCCAGGAAUCAAGCCUAGGAUGUGAAU
This 1180-nucleotide long non-coding RNA is filed under the name Triticum aestivum (bread wheat). RNAcentral describes it as "long non-coding RNA (TAES_LNC026537)". The record is from RNAcentral. Lineage: Eukaryota; Viridiplantae; Streptophyta; Magnoliopsida; Poales; Poaceae.